This 501-nucleotide ribosomal RNA is filed under the name uncultured bacterium. Its description in RNAcentral is "partial 16S ribosomal RNA". It matches the Rfam family "Bacterial small subunit ribosomal RNA", at positions 30 to 523 of the family's 1533-position model. The record is from RNAcentral.
AUUGAACGCUGGCGGCAUGCCUUACACAUGCAAGUCGAACGGCAGCACGGGUGCUUGCACCUGGUGGCGAGUGGCGAACGGGUGAGUAAUACAUCGGAACGUACCUUAUCGUGGGGGAUAACGCAGCGAAAGUUGCGCUAAUACCGCAUACGCCCUGAGGGGGAAAGCGGGGGACCGUAAGGCCUCGCGCGAUUAGAGCGGCCGAUGUCUGAUUAGCUUGUUGGUGAGGUAAAAGCUCACCAAGGCGAUGAUCAGUAGCUGGUCUGAGAGGACGAUCAGCCACACUGGGACUGAGACACGGCCCAGACUCCUACGGGAGGCAGCAGUGGGGAAUUUUGGACAAUGGGGGCAACCCUGAUCCAGCGAUGCCGCGUGAGUGAAGAAGGCCUUCGGGUUGUAAAGCUCUUUUGUCAGGGAAGAAACAGCAGCUCUAACACAGUCCGCGAAUGACGGUACCUGAAGAAUAAGCACCGGCUAACUACGUGCCAGCAGCCGCCGUAA